RNAcentral lists this ribosomal RNA (422 nucleotides) under uncultured archaeon. RNAcentral's name for it is "partial 16S ribosomal RNA". It matches the Rfam family "Archaeal small subunit ribosomal RNA", at positions 323 to 746 of the family's 1478-position model. The record is from RNAcentral.
CUACGGGUUGCUGCAGGCGAGAAAACUUUGCAAUGUGCGAAAGCACGACAAGGUUAAUCCGAGUGGUUUGUGCUAAACGAACCUUUUGACAGUCCUAGAAACACUGUUGAAUAAGGGGUGGGCAAGUUCUGGUGUCAGCCGCCGCGGUAAAACCAGCACCUCAAGUGGUCAGGAUGAUUAUUGGGCCUAAAGCAUCCGUAGCCGGCUCUGUAAGUUUUCGGUUAAAUCUGUACGCUCAACGUACAGGCUGCCGGGGAUACUGCAGAGCUAGGGAGUGGGAGAGGUAGACGGUACUCGGUAGGAAGGGGUAAAAUCCUUUGAUCUAUUGAUGACCACCUGUGGCGAAGGCGGUCUACCAGAACACGUCCGACGGUGAGGGAUGAAAGCUGGGGGAGCAAACGGGAUUAGAUACCCCUGUAGUC